UAUAUAUAAUGCAAACUAUAACAUUGUAAAAGUAAUUUUAAAAAAUGAAAGUGGUGUCAUCAUAGGCGUGCUCCAUACCCCCAAACCUUACCUCCCUUUUCACGUAUUCAGACACAAAAAAGCGAAAGAGCGUGCCUCGAUCACCCAAUAGGUCAAUUUGGCCCAUUAGCCAGGAAGAAGCAGAUCCUGAGUGUUUUCAACCACAGACUCCAUCCCUCCCGAUUUGCAACCAUCCCCAGACCAGUGACAGGUGCAUAGGCAGCCAUGUCAUUGGAACUAAGUAAGGAGGAAGCCAGUGGAAACAAUGAAAGGGGCCACUCUGGUUAUCACCUUGGGGUCAGGGGUGUGCCGUAUACCCCCAAACCUUACUUCCCUUUACACGUAUUCACACACAAAAAAGCGAAAGAGCGUGCCUCAAUCACCCAAUAGGUCAAUUUGGCCCAUUAGCCAGGAAGAAGCAGAUCCUGAGUGUUUUCGACCACAGACUCCAUCCCUCCCGAUUUGCAACCAUCCCCGAACCAGUGACAGGUGCAUAGGCAGCCAUGUCAUUGGAACUAAGUAAGGAGGAAGCCAGUGGAAACAAUGAAAGGGGCCACUCUGGUUAUCACCUUGGGGUCAGGGGUGUGCCCUGUACCCCCAAACCUUACUUCCCUUUAUCUGUAUUCACACACAAAAAAGCGAAAGAGCGUGCCUCGAGCAGCCAUGUCAUUGGAACUAAAGAAGGAGGAAGCCAGUGGAAACAAUGAGAGAGGCCACUCUGGUUAUCACCUUGGGGUCAGGGGUGUGCCCUGUACCCCAAACCUUACUUCCCUUUACACGUUUUCAGACACAAAAAAGUGAAAGAGCGUGCCUCGAUCACCCAAUAGAUCAAUUUGGCCCAUUAGCCAGGAAGAAGCAGAUCCUGAGUGUUUUCGACCACAGACUCCAUUCCUCCCGAUUUGCAACCCCAUGGACCAGUGGAGGAAGCAGAUCGUGAGUGUUUUC
This is a long non-coding RNA of Gopherus flavomarginatus (Mexican gopher tortoise), 984 nucleotides long. RefSeq lists it as uncharacterized. The transcript is spliced from 3 exons. Lineage: Eukaryota; Metazoa; Chordata; Testudines; Testudinidae. The record is from RefSeq and is a predicted model, not a curated record.